RNAcentral lists this ribosomal RNA (497 nucleotides) under uncultured Desulfobulbus sp. Its description in RNAcentral is "bacterial SSU rRNA". It matches the Rfam family "Bacterial small subunit ribosomal RNA", at positions 886 to 1382 of the family's 1533-position model. Lineage: Bacteria; Pseudomonadati; Thermodesulfobacteriota; Desulfobulbia; Desulfobulbales; Desulfobulbaceae. The record is from RNAcentral.
GCUCAAGAAACUUAAAGGAAUUGACGGGGCCCGCACAAGCGGUGGAGUAUGUGGUUUAAUUCGAUGCAACGCGAAGAACCUUACCUGGUCUUGACAUCCCGGAGACCCUUAGGAAACUAGGGGGUGCUUCCAUCUGGAAGAAUCUGGAGACAGGUGCUGCAUGGCUGUCGUCAGCUCGUGUCGUGAGAUGUUGGGUUGAGUCCCGCAACGAGCGCAACCCUUGCCUUUAGUUGCCAGCAGUUCGGCUGGGCACUCUAAAGGGACUGCCGGUGUUAAACCGGAGGAAGGUGGGGAUGACGUCAAGUCCUCAUGGCCUUUAUGACCAGGGCUACACACGUACUACAAUGGCCGAUGCAAAGGGCAGCGACACUGCGAGGUGAAGCCAAUCCCGUAAAAUCGGUCUCAGUCCGGAUUGGAGUCUGCAACUCGACUCCAUGAAGUUGGAAUCGCUAGUAAUCGUGGAUCAGCAUGCCACGGUGAAUACGUUCCCGGGCCUU